GACGAACGCUGGCGGCGUGCUUAACACAUGCAAGUCGAACGGUAAGGCCCUUCGGGGUACACGAGUGGCGAACGGGUGAGUAACACGUGGGUGAUCUGCCCCGCACUUCGGGAUAAGCCUGGGAAACUGGGUCUAAUACCGGAUAGGACCACUGCCUGCAUGGGUGGUGGUGGAAAGCGUUUGCGGUGUGGGAUGGGCCCGCGGCCUAUCAGCUUGUUGGUGGGGUGAUGGCCUACCAAGGCGACGACGGGCAGCCGGCCUGAGAGGGUGACCGGCCACACUGGGACUGAGAUACGGCCCAGACUCCUACGGGAGGCAGCAGUGGGGAAUACUGCACAAUGGGCGCAAGCCUGAUGCAGCGACGCCGCGUGAGGGAUGACGGCCUUCGGGUUGUAAACCUCUUUCAGCACCGACGAAGCGCAAGUGACGGUAGGUGCAGAAGAAGGACCGGCCAACUACGUGCCAGCCGCCGCCGUAA
RNAcentral lists this ribosomal RNA (478 nucleotides) under uncultured bacterium. RNAcentral describes it as "partial 16S ribosomal RNA". It matches the Rfam family "Bacterial small subunit ribosomal RNA", at positions 28 to 523 of the family's 1533-position model. The record is from RNAcentral.